This 497-nucleotide ribosomal RNA is filed under the name uncultured bacterium. RNAcentral describes it as "partial 16S ribosomal RNA". It matches the Rfam family "Bacterial small subunit ribosomal RNA", at positions 28 to 507 of the family's 1533-position model. The record is from RNAcentral.
GAUGAACGCUGGCGGCGUGCCUAAUACAUGCAAGUCGAGCGAACAGAUGAGGAGCUUGCUCCUCUGACGUUAGCGGCGGACGGGUGAGUAACACGUGGAUAACCUACCUAUAAGACUGGGAUAACUUCGGGAAACCGGAGCUAAUACCGGAUAAUAUAUUGAACCGCAUGGUUCAAUAGUGAAGGACGGUUUUGCUGUCACUUAUAGAUGGAUCCGCGCCGCAUUAGCUAGUUGGUAAGGUAACGGCAUACCAAGGCAACGAUGCGUAGCCGACCUGAGAGGGUGAUCGGCCACACUGGAACUGAGACACGGUCCAGACUCCUACGGGAGGCAGCAGUAGGGAAUCUUCCGCAAUGGGCGAAAGCCUGACGGAGCAACGCCGCGUGAGUGAUGAAGGUCUUCGGAUCGUAAAACUCUGUUAUUAGGGAAGAACAAAUGUGUAAGUAACUAUGCACGUCUUGACGGUACCUAAUCAGAAAGCCACGGCUAACUACGUG